RNAcentral lists this ribosomal RNA (432 nucleotides) under uncultured bacterium. RNAcentral's name for it is "bacterial SSU rRNA". It matches the Rfam family "Bacterial small subunit ribosomal RNA", at positions 89 to 518 of the family's 1533-position model. The record is from RNAcentral.
UGGCGACCGGCGCACGGGUGAGUAACGCGUAUGCAACCUACCUAUCAGAGGGGAAUAACCCGGCGAAAGUCGGACUAAUACCGCAUAAAACAGGGACACCGCAUGGUGAUAUUUGUUAAAGAAAUUCGCUGAUAGAUGGGCAUGCGUUCCAUUAGGUAGUUGGUGAGGUAACGGCUCACCAAGCCGACGAUGGAUAGGGGAACUGAGAGGUUGGUCCCCCACACUGGUACUGAGACACGGACCAGACUCCUACGGGAGGCAGCAGUGAGGAAUAUUGGUCAAUGGGCGAGAGCCUGAACCAGCCAAGUCGCGUGAAAGGAAGAAGGAUCUAUGGUUCGUAAACUUCUUUUGCAGGGGAAUAAAGUGCAGGACGUGUCCUGUUUUGUAUGUACCCUGAGAAUAAGGAUCGGCUAACUCCGUGCCAGCCGCAGC